GGUCUUGUUUUUUUUUCCCUGUAAUUGCAUAAAUGAAUAGAGGAAGAUGACGACGUUUGAUGCUGUGCUCUUUGGCUCGUUUUCCCAAUCUUUUCUUUUUCUUUUUCUUUUAGCUUUUCUGGUCCUCUCCAUCAUCACCAUUCUCCAACCCAUUUCAUCUCAAAAGAACAAUUCUACAAGGUCUACCAAAUCUCUAUGCCAAGUCAAACUUGUAAUUAUAUCAUCUCUUCCUUCCAUGUCAUUAUCCCUAACUUUAUUGUUCGGCAUAUCUAAGUAACCAUAUGCCGAACAAGAGCAAUUCUGCAAACACCAGGACUAGCAUGUACUCACAUUCAUCUUCCCUAAUGGUCGAUCCGGAAGUUUCAUCUUCUGCACCUUCAAAAACCCAUAUUUGUUUUUGCAUUCUAAAUUUUUUUUCGCUUUGCACCCACCAGACCAGUCUCCUCUGUCCAUUUUUGUUCAUUUCUAGGGUUAUAACCAGUUCAAACACUUACAAACUUGCGAUGAAGAGGAUUUGCUAAUAGCACUUAUAGGUCGCCCAUCAAUUCUGUCAGCACCGUCAUCACAGAAUGGCCAUGUUUGACUAGACCAAUCCAGCUUGUUGCUGCUGGAGCCUUCAUGAUUUACCAGUAACCUGUCUGUUAGCAACUUGAGGGUGUCUUCAAUAUGAUGGAACUUGUCGGCGAACCCUACCUCCAUCCAACUCAAGUUAUCCUGCAACUCUCUCAAGUUGGUUUCCAACUUUUCAAUUCUUUUUUUGUUUGUUGUUAUGAUGUUGAUACCAAUUGAUAGAUUCCUGUCAGAAGCCAAAGAAUUUAGUAAAGAAAUUCUCUUCGGGUGAGAAUAAACCAUAAGAUUUUAAGAUUCAUAAAUAGUCUGCCUCAUAGCUUGUUCAUUCAAGCUUUAAAUAUACCAAAGUGAACUGAAAAAUUCAUAUUGAUAAUGGAAAAGAGCAUGAAAUCGAAAAUGGGAUAAUGGGUUUGCUGCAAUGUAGUGGUGUAACACAUAAGCUCCCUCUUUGUCCUGAAACUAGCCAAAUUUCAUGACAAUCAAAACCCCACUUAUCACAUAAUUUAGUCGUUCCUCCAUCAAUUUUGGUUUUAGAAAGAAAGAUUAUAUUUUCUAGUAAGAGCCCUUAAUUUACUAACUGCAAAGAUAUGGACUAAUAGCAAAGGUUAGCCCAUACCUUUGGAUCUGGGGGGGGCUGCUCAAUGUGAAUGGAGAUUAGAAUCUAGGGCUUUUUUUUUUUUAUUUGAGUUGGAUCUUAUGGGAGAAAAUCCUUUCUAAAGGAGCAUGCCAUAUAUCCAAAGUUGGCUUCUUUUCUAAGACUGCAAAACUUGGCCUAAUUAGGGGCUUGGUCUUUGAGAUAAGCUUUUGGUGAGUUUGGUAGACUGUCUGGAGUCUGGCCUAGCUUUUGUUUGAGAUUGGGGCUUUAUUUUUGGUGAAAGGGAUUAGCAUUAGAGAGAAGGAUGAAAUAAGAUAUGUUGGGAUAUAUGCCCCUAGUCAUUUAAUAAAGUAUGUGAUAUGAUGACUUUAGCCAUAUUUUCAUUAAAUGUUGGAAUUGAGAGAUUGAAAUUAGGUGUUGAGGUUCCGCUAAGGAGCAUAGGAUAAUUAAUAAACUCCACCAACACUGAGAUUGAGAAAAAAGAAUCUCAAUGAUGGGGAUGGUUUAAAGGCUUAACUUUAAAGCCUUUAGCCACUUAGAAAUUUUGGUCUUUCAUAAUAUUUACUAGCUGAGAUGGCAUAAACAUCCCAAUCAUCUAUUUUUUGGCCUUUCUUAAGUGAUGUAGAACCAGAUGAUCAAAGAUUACAUCUAUAAUCCCACAUAUAUAUUUAACAUAGAUAACUUAAAACUCUAAAUAAAUCUUCUCUACCAAACCCACAACUAACCUGUAAUUGAAAAUUUGGGUGAUUGGGAUGAAAGAAACAAGAAUAAAUAAACACCACAAGAUUAUUUAACAAAUUAAUUUAAUUAUUGAUGCAAUAAGAAUUCUCACUUGUUAAAAUUUUACCAAAGGCAAUGAAAUUCAUUCAAUAAUCAAAGUGUUAUAUUAUAUUGCAAAGAAGAUAUUUAUAGAAUAAGACAUCUAGAUUUUACUAAAAAAUCAUAAUUAGAUGAUCUAGAGAAAUAUAAACAUAAUUUAAAUGAUUUAAGAAAACAUGAUAUUAAAUGACAUAGGAGAACAUAGUAUUAAAUGACCUAAGUGAACAUAGUAUUAAAUGACCGAGGGAAACAUAGUAUUAAAUGACGUAGGAGAACAUAAUAUUAAAUGAUGUAGAAAAAUAUAGUAUUAAAUGACGUAGGAAAACAUGAACGUAAUUUAAUUAUGUAGGAAAUGACCAAAAUGAUCCCAGACAUUCAUUUUAAAUUUUGCCUACACACUUGAACGAAAUUAAUGAUCUUCUUUGGCUUCUUUGAUUCUUCAAAUAGUUUUCAUGUGCUAAGUUUUUGUUGUAUCCAUCUUUAUACAAAGUCUUGAAAUAUAUAUUUUAGUUUGUUGACUUGAAAUUUUGUGAUUGGACCAGCUGACAUUUUAAUAUCUUCUUCAUACUUCUCUUUAAUACGUUUUGAACUCAUAUCUACAUCAUUCCCUCAUUCUUCAAAAGGAUUCGUACUCGAAUAUGCAUUCAUAUCAAACGGAGAAAGAUCAUAAACAUUAAAAGUAGCAGACUCAAAAUAUUUAUCAGAGAGAUUAAUCCGAUAAGCAUUAUCACUAAUUUUCUCCAACACUUGAAAUGGUCGAUUGCCUCUUGGAUCUAACUUUGAUUUUCUUUGUUUUAGAAAUCUUUCCUCGCACAUAUGUUCCCAAAUCCAAUCGCUAGGUCCAAGUACAACUUGUUUUCGCUCUUUAUUAGCCAUUCCAGCAUAAACUUGGUUCUUCUUUUUAAUCUACUCACGUGUUUUCUCAUGUAUAACUUUAACCAUUUCAGUUUUCUUCUUACCAUCUAAACUAGAAAUUUCACUUAAAGAUAAUAACAUUAAAUCCAAAACAGUUAAUGGAUUAAAACCAUACACAAUUUCAAAAGGAGAAAAACUUGUAAAAGAAUGAAUAGUAUGAUUAUAUGCAAACUCAAUGAAUGACAAUCAAUCUUCCUAAGUUUUCAAAUUCUUACCAAUAACAACAUGCAACAAAGUUUCCAAAGUUCUAUUGACAACUUCAGUUUGACCAUCAGUUUGUGGAUGACAAGUAGUAAAAUACAAAAGUUUAGUUCCUAACUUACUCCACAAAGUUUUCUAGAAAUGACUUAAAAAUUUAACAUCAUGAUCAGAAACAAUAUUCUUACGUACAUCAUGUAUCCUUACUACUUCUCUAAAGAAUAGAUCAACAAUGUUUGUUGCAUCAUUGAUUUUGUAACAUGCAAUGAAAUGUGUCAUUUUAUUAUACCUGUCAACUACAACAAAUAUACUAUCUUUACCUUUUCUAGUUGUAGGCAAACCUAACACAAAAUUCAUAGAAAUGUUAGUUCAAGGUUGAGUAGGAACUGGUAAUGGAGUGUAUAAAUCAUGCGAUUUGUACUUAAAUUUAGUCUGUCUACAUGCAAUACAAGAUGAACAAAGUUUCUCAACAUCCCUAUGCAUGUUUGGCUAAUAAAAAUGUUCAGUUAGAAUGUCCAAAGUUUUAUGCACACCAAAAUGACCCAUUAACCCCCCACUAUGAGACUCACGAACAAGCAAUUUUACGUAAUGAACAUGUAGGCACACACAAUUGUCUUUCACGAAAUAAAAAUCUCUCAUGUCUAUAAAAUUUAUCAAAUGCAGCAUUUUUACAAACAGUAUAAACAUUGCAAAAAUCAAAAUCAGUAGCAUACAUAUCUUUGAGUUGCUAAAAUCCUAACAAUUUAGAAUUAAGUGUAGAUAUUAAAGCGUACCUUCUAGAUAAUGCAUCUACCACCACAUUGUUUUUACCUUGCUUGUAACGAAUCACAUAGGAAAAAGUCUCUAUAAACUCUAUCUACUUUGUAUGCCUUUUAUUCAGCUUCCCUUGUCUCUUUAAAUGCUUGAGGGAUUUAUGAUCAGUAUGAAUCACAAAUUUCUUUGGAAGUAGGUAAUGCUGCUACACUUGUAGUGCAUGAACUAAAACAUAUAACUCUUUAUCAUAAAUAGAAUAAUUUUUUGCUGAAGUAUGUAAUUGGACGUUUAUCCUGCAUCAAAACAGCUCCAAUCCUAUUCUAGAAGCAUCAUAUUCAAUUUUAAAAUUUUUAAAAAAAUCAGGUAAACAAAGAAUAGGUGUAGAAUACAAUUUAUCUUUUAAACUUUUGAAUACAUGCUCUUGCUCCUCUCCCCAUUUGAAUCCAACCUCCUUUUUAAUCACUGCAGUUAAAGGAGCAUCAAUAGUUGAGAAAUUUUUCACAAAUCUUCUAUAAAAACUAGUCAGCCUAUGAAAACUCCUCAUAUCAGACACACUCCUAGGUAUUGGUCAUUCUUGUAUAGUUUUUAUUUUGUCACUAUCAACCUCAACUCCCUUUGCACUAAUAAUAAACUCUAAAAACACAACUUGAUUAAGGUAAAAAGCACACUUCUGUAAGUUAGCAAACAAUUGUUCUUUUCUCAAAACUACUAGAACAGUUUUAACAUGCACAAGAUGAUCAUUCAAAGAUUUGCUUUAAAUCAAAUAUUAUCAAAUAAAUCACAACAAACUUUUCAAGAAAUUCACGCAAGACAUGAUUCAUUAACUUCAUGAAUGUACUAAGUGUAUUAGUUAAAUUAAAUGGCAUAACCAUCCACUUAUACAAACUAUAUUUAGUUUUGAAUGUAGUCUUCCUUUUUUCACCUGGUUUUAUGCGAAUUUGGUGAUAUCCACUUUUCAGAUCAAUCUUUGUAAAAAUACAUACACCAUGCAAUUUAUCUAACAUGUCAUCUAAUCUAGAAAUAGGAUAACAAUACUUUACAGUGAUUUUAUUGACUACAUGACAGCCAACACAUCCUCCAUGAUCCAUCUUUCUUAGGGAUAGCAACACAGGAAUUGCACAUGGACUUAUGCUCUCCCUUACAUACUCUUUUGCCAAGAGUUCAUCCACUUGCCUUAGGAGUUCUUUUGUUUCAUCUAGAUUACUCCUAUAUUUUGGUCUAUUAAAUAUUGCAAAACCAGGAAUGAAAUCAAUUUGGUAUUCAAUACCCCUUAGAGGUGGUAACUUAUUUGGCAUAUCAUCAGGAAACACAUCUUCAAACUCCUGCAACAAAGAAACAUACAUACUAGGCAGAUUUAGAUUAAGGUUAGUUUUNNNNNNNNNNNNNNNNNNNNNNNNNNNNNNNNNNNNNNNNNNNNNNNNNNNNNNNNNNNNNNNNNNNNNNNNNNNNNNNNNNNNNNNNNNNNNNAUCAUUUUCAUUUGAUCCUUAUAAACUUUUGAAGGAGAUAAUGGCACAAGUGUGAAAUUUCUGCCAUUCAAAGUAAGUGAGUACCUAUUUGUGUACUCAUCAUGUAUGACUCUUCUAUCAAAUUGUCAAGGUCGCCCUAACAACAAUGACCAGCUUGUAUGGGUACCACAUCACAUAAUACUUCAUCAACAUAUCUCCCAAUAGAGAAUGAAAUUAUAACCUGUUUAAUCGCCUUCACUUGUCCACGAUCAUUCAACCAUUGUAGCUUAUAGGGUCUUGGGUACUUUCUACAUUUUAAACCUAAUUUCUCCACCAAAGUAAUACUAGUCGCAUUUGCACAACUCCCUCCAUCAAUGACACAACACAAAAUUUUUUACUUACAAGGCAUUUUGUAUAGAACAAAUUUUUCCCUUGUUCUAAAAUUUUUUCUUUAAGUUGCAUAUUAAGAGCUCGUCUAAUGACCAAUGAUUCUCUACAUACAGCAUACUCAACAUCGUCAUCACAAUCUUCUAAAAGUGGCAUAGUAUCAUAAUCAUAAUCAGAUUCAAAUUCAACAUCUCCAUUGUCCUUAAUAAACAUGACUUUCUUAUUUGGACAUUGUGAAGUAAUAUGUGUCACUCUCAAACAUUUAAAAUAUUUAAUAUUUCUAUAUUUAUUAGUAGAUAUAAGAUUAAAAGUACCUCUAAUAGAUGAUGAGGUACCUUUAUUUUGCCUUGGUUGAAAUCUGUAGCAUUAUCCUUGGAACCAAAACUCUUUUCCUUGGAACCAAAGCUCUUCUCCUUAGUCUUCUCCUCUUUCUUAGACCACUUUGAAUUCCAAUUGUUAUUAGAAAUAGAAUAUGAUCUUGUUGUUCCCUUACUUUUUAAUUGUUUUUUUACUUUCAUUGCCAUAUUAACCACCUCCUCCAACUCAACAUAGUGAUGUAAUUCAACUAUAUUGGCAAUUUCUCUAUUCAAGCCACUUAGAAAUCGUGUCAUGUUAACUUCUCUAUAAUCCUUUAUAUUUACUCGAAUCAUAGCUAUUUGCAUUUGUUUGUGAUAAUGUUCAACUAAUUUAGACCCUUUAGUGAGCCUUUACAAUUUUUGAUGAAGCUCUCUAUAGUAAGAUGAUAGAACAUACAUUUUUCUCAUGAUAACUUUCAUUUGAGUCCAAAUGGUGAUGGAUGCCUCUCCAUUACGUCUCUUAGAGAUUAAUAAUUAAUUCCACCAAACCAAAGCAUAAUCAGUAAAUUCAGCGGCUGCCAACUUCACCUUCUUCUCCUCAGAGUAAUUAUGACAUUGAAAUAUCAACUCAAGUUUUCGCUCUCAUUCUAGAUAAGUUUUAGCAUUAUUUCUACCUUAAAAAGAAAGAAUCUUUAUCUUGAUAGAAUUAAUGUUAUUGUCCCUCCUUUCUGGUCUUUUUUGCGUCAUUGAUUCUUCACUAUCUUCAUCUACUUCCCUUUCUAUCUCAUUAUCAUUCAACAUAUUUUCUCUUCCCCUAUUGUGCCUCUUUUGAUUAGGACCACCUUAUCGGCCCUAAAGGCUAUGUAUAUCACCUUUCUUGUUGUCUAUGUCCCUAUUAUGCUUCUCAAAUUGACUUUGCAUUGCUUCUAAAAUAAAGGUUAUGUCAUUCAUGGUUAUUUCACGCUUCUCACUUUCAGAAUUUGACAUAAUGUAAAACCUACAAGAAAAAUAUUAGUAAAGAAAAUUCUUCACAACACUUUCUUACGUGUUUCAUUCUUGAACAAAUUUGUCAUUUCUCUUGUGUUUUUACUCAAGAUUUUGGCUUUUAUCUUAUUCUAUGUUCACACCCUCAAGUCUUUUACCACUCUAUUGUCUUCUUCAAGUUAUACUUCAGAAUUGAAAGCAACUCAAUUAAGAUAAACAAGUAGUUGUCUAUGUGACACUUCAAGGAAUCUUAAUGAGUGAGAAAGGUAAACAAUUAAUACUAGAUGCAAAUUAGAUAAACAAGAACAAGAUCUAAACAUACGGAUUAAGGUGAGUGCGUCUUUUUAAAUUAAUUAAAGUAUGAUGCAAUUAGCUACUUUUAGUGUAACAGAAAUAAGAGGUAUAUGAAGAAACGAAACUAAAAAUGCAAGAAAACAAUUUUUGACUAAUGAUAAUAGAAUUCAAAUCAUUCCUUAUGAGAAAUCUGAAUAUGUAAACCUAUAAUCUAUUCUCACUGUAAGCUACACUCUAAACAAUAAAAAUUAUACUAUUGUAAGACAAUAUAUGUGAAGUGGAUGCACUUUGACUAAGAUGGACAGAAUUGAAAGUUCAAUGAACACACAUUUUCUCUUUUGCAAUAGAAACCGAUUAUGAUUUUUUUCUUUCUUUUUUUUAAUUUUUUUAAUUUGGCUAACAAGAACAAAGUAUAAAAAGACAAAAAACACAGAAUUAAAGAAUAAGAACAAAGUGCAACCAAAAUUAAGAAUAACAAAGAUAGAAGUUGAACAAUCUAAACAAAUAAGAAUAAGAAGAUAAAGUUAGAUAAAUUAAACAUAAAUGAUGCCUAAAAAUUUAUCCAAAACCAAAACUCUAAUACCAAAUUGCUGUAGAACUCAAGAAUCAAAUAUUACAUUCAGAACCCCACAUAUAUUUAGUCUAGAUAACUUAAAAGCCUAAACAAACCUUCCUUACCAAACUCACAACUAACCUGUAAUUGAGAACUUGAGUGGUUGAAAUGAAAGAAGCAAGAAUGAAUAAACACCACAAGAUAAUUUGAAAAGUUAAUUCAAUUCUUGAUGCAAUAAGAAGAAUAGGAAUUCUCAUUUGUUAAAGUUCUACCAAAGACAAUAAAAUUCAUUCAAUAAUCGAAGUAUCAUAUUACAUUGUAAAAGAGAUAUUUAUAGGCUAAAACACUUAGAUUCUGCUAAAUGAUCAUAAUUAGAUGACCUAGAGAAAUAUGAACAUAAUUUAAAUGAUAUAGAGAAACAUGAUAUUAAAUGACAUAAGAGAACAUUGUAUUAAAUGAGAUAGGGGAAUAUAGUAUCAAAAUGAUUUAGAGAAACAUGAUAUUAAAUGACUUAGAGAAAUAUAAUAUUAAAUAAUCUAGAAAAAUAUAGUAUUAAAUGACGUAGGAAAAUAUGAACAUAAUUUAAUUAUAUAGAAAAUAACUAAAAUGAUCUUAAACAUUCAUUUUAAAUUUUGCACACACACUUAGACGAAAUUAAUGAUCUUCUUUGACUUUUUUUAUUCUUCAAAUAGUUCACAUGUGCUAAAUUUUUGUUGUAUCCAUUUUUGUACAAAUCCUUGAAAUGUAUGUUUUAUCUUAUUGGUUUAAAAUCUUGUGAUUGGACCAACUAACAUUGUAAUAUCUUCUUCAUGCUUCUCUUUAAUGCCUUUUGAACCCAUGUCCGCAUCAUUAAGUUUUGAUUUCUUCCACUACUUCCCAUACUAGCAUUUGGGAGAUGUUAGCAAUAUCACAAUGAACCUUGUAGUUUGAUAAAUCUACCUUGAGGAGAAGAAAUAACUUGCAACUUACCAGAGGGGCAACUUCUGUCAUCAUGAUUAAUAAGGCUGAAGUAGUAACAACAUCAUGAUACUAUUUCAUAUAGAAAGAUCACUCAGUAUCGUACACCAUUGGCUUGUUGAAAAGAAAUUCUAGAGCAAGAGGUUUGUGAGAUAUAUUAAUCUCUACUUUGAGUCUUAAAUAAUUCGGCUAUCUUUUGAGUUUUUUAUCUUGUCGAUAUAUUGCUGGUAGCCAAUCUUUCUUGUAUUUUCUUUAUUUGACUUACUUAGGGGAAGCCAUUUCCUAAACCAAGCAACUCUUUUCUUGAAAUAGCAGUCCUGAACAGUAGUUCAAGCAGUAAGUAAUAAUACAGUACCUCUAGUGAUUCAAAUCUCCUUUGCUCUAAUCUUCUCUUUUGACAUAGUUGUUAAACAAGAAUUAAAAGAUGUUUGAUCAAUUGCAUUGAUUUCCUAAGUAUUUAAUUACCUCUAUAUAUUAUUAGCAAUUUGUUUUAGUACUUUUGUGGAAUAAGUUUUUGAGGGAGACUCAUACCAAUAAGCAUUCUUCCCCUUUAUCAUCUUCAUUUUUGCCUUCUAUCGUUAAUCCCAAGUCUUAACAUGACAUUCGCCUUGUCUUGUUGUUUAUCGGAUCUAUGGUUUGAUCUCAUUGAUCCAUUUCCACUUGGAUAUGAUGAAAAGAUGCAAAGCUAUGGCUGAGCUUGAUGGGAAUAGGAGAUGAGGAGGAAUUUGAGGAAGGAAUGAGAUUAAAAUAAGACGAUGAUUGGAAAAGACUACCGGAGAGAACUACCAUUCAAUUGUAAUUUAAUUGACUGUAAAAAUACUUUUUCUGAUCUAAAUCUCAUAUAAUAGCAUUAUAUAGUCCUUGGUUUUAGUCAAU
RNAcentral lists this long non-coding RNA (9643 nucleotides) under Carica papaya (papaya). RNAcentral's name for it is "long non-coding RNA (CPAP_LNC003721)". The record is from RNAcentral. Lineage: Eukaryota; Viridiplantae; Streptophyta; Magnoliopsida; Brassicales; Caricaceae.